Molecule: ribosomal RNA, 352 nt
Filed under: Triticum aestivum (bread wheat)
Lineage: Eukaryota; Viridiplantae; Streptophyta; Magnoliopsida; Poales; Poaceae
Description: partial small subunit ribosomal RNA
Source: RNAcentral
GAUAUUUUGGAGGCUCACAAGGGCCCAUUUACAGGACAAGGCCAUAAGGGUCUUUAUGAAAUCUUAACAACGUCAUGGCAUGCUCAAUUAUCUCUUAACCUAGCUAUGCUAGGCUCUACAACCAUUGUUGUAGCUCAUCAUAUGUAUUCUAUGCCUCCCUAUCCAUACCUAGCUACUGACUAUGGUACACAACUUUCCUUGUUCACACACCACAUGUGGAUUGGCGGAUUUCUAAUAGUCGGUGCUGCUGCACAUGCAGCAAUUUUUAUGGUAAGAGACUAUGAUCCAACUACUCGAUACAACGAUCUAUUAGAUCGCGUCCUUAGACACCGCGAUGCAAUCAUAUCCCACC